Molecule: ribosomal RNA, 449 nt
Filed under: uncultured bacterium
Lineage: Bacteria
Description: partial 16S ribosomal RNA
Rfam family: Bacterial small subunit ribosomal RNA
Source: RNAcentral
AACGAACGCUGGCGGCAUGCCUAACACAUGCAAGUCGAACGAGAUCUUCGGGUCUAGUGGCGCACGGGUGCGUAACGCGUGGGAAUCUGUCCUUUGGUUCGGAAUAACAGUUGGAAACGACUGCUAACACCGGAUGAUGACGAAAGUCCAAAGAUUUAUCGCCAGAGGAUGAGCCCGCGUAGGAUUAGCUAGUUGGUGUGGUAAAGGCGCACCAAGGCGACGAUCCUUAGCUGGUCUGAGAGGAUGAUCAGCCACACUGGGACUGAGACACGGCCCAGACUCCUACGGGAGGCAGCAGUGGGGAAUAUUGGACAAUGGGCGAAAGCCUGAUCCAGCAAUGCCGCGUGAGUGAUGAAGGCCUUAGGGUUGUAAAGCUCUUUUACCCGGGAUGAUAAUGACAGUACCGGGAGAAUAAGCUCCGGCUAACUCCGUGCCAGCAGCCGCGGUAA